RNAcentral lists this ribosomal RNA (253 nucleotides) under uncultured bacterium. RNAcentral describes it as "partial 16S ribosomal RNA". It matches the Rfam family "Bacterial small subunit ribosomal RNA", at positions 524 to 776 of the family's 1533-position model. The record is from RNAcentral.
UACGGGGGGGGCAAGCGUUGUUCGGAAUUACUGGGCGUAAAGGGCUUGUAGGCGGCCAACUAAGUCGGAUGUGAAAUCCCCGGGCUUAACCUGGGAACUGCAUUUGUGACUGCAAGGCUGGAGUGCGGCAGAGGAGACUGGAAUUCCUGGUGUAGCAGUGAAAUGCGUAGAUAUCAGGAGGAACACCGAUGGCGAAGGCAGGUCUCUGGGCUGACACUGACGCUCAUGCACGAAAGCGUGGGGAGCAAACAGG